Molecule: ribosomal RNA, 267 nt
Filed under: uncultured Eubacteriales bacterium
Lineage: Bacteria; Bacillati; Bacillota; Clostridia; Eubacteriales
Description: uncultured Clostridiales bacterium partial 16S ribosomal RNA
Rfam family: Bacterial small subunit ribosomal RNA
Source: RNAcentral
UCAAGUUGAACGGAUGACUUAGUGGCGGACGGGUGAGUAACGCGUGAGGAACCUGCCCUUCAGUGGGGGACAACAGUUGGAAACGACUGCUAAUACCGCAUAAGACCACAGUACGGCAUCGUACAGUGAUCAAAGGAUUUAUUCGCUGAAGGAUGGGCUCGCGUCCGAUUAGCUAGAUGGUGAGGUAACGGCCCACCAUGGCGACGAUCGGUAGCCGGACUGAGAGGUUGAUCGGCCACAUUGGGACUGAGACACGGCCCAGACUCC